RNAcentral lists this long non-coding RNA (435 nucleotides) under Oryctolagus cuniculus (rabbit). Its description in RNAcentral is "lncRNA (ENSOCUG00000035986.1)". The record is from RNAcentral. Lineage: Eukaryota; Metazoa; Chordata; Mammalia; Lagomorpha; Leporidae.
AUGCAAUUCAAUCCAAAUAAAACGUGUGCAAUUCAAGCACCCACUUUCAGCAUUCCAUUUCUUGUUAUCACACAAGGCAUUAAUGGGUUCCAGCACCCUCUGUGUACACCAAGCAAAAAUGCAGUGUUGAUCUCUGAGAGCAGGCACUCCCAGGCUCAUCGGCAAGGGUAUCUGCUGGAGUGGCUAUGGGAGUACAUUCCCAAAUGGAAAAGUCAAGGAAUGCUUAGAGGGCCAUCUCUCACACUGAAACCAACUUUGCACAGUUGUGAAUCCAGGAGAGAGAGUAUUUCUUCAAGCACUCAAGACAAUUCUAAAAAAUCUGUGAACCAGGGCCGGCACUGUGGCAUAGCGGGUAAAGCCCAUGUGGGCGCCAGUUCGAGUCCCAGCUGUUCCACUUCUGAUCCAGCUCUCUGCUAUGGCCUGGGAAAGAAUUAG